ACCCAGCACUCUGCUCGAUUUCCUUCAUCUGAAUUUCUGGAGAUUAAGUAAAAUGUAACUAAGCCGCGACGAGUAGGAGGGCCGCUGCGGUGCGCCUCGAAGCCUGGGGCUUGGGCCUGGGUGGAGCCGCCGCAGGUGCAGAUCUUGGUGGUAGUAGCAAAUAUUCAAACAAGAGCUUUGAAGGCCGAAUGAUCAUCGACACUUCGAACGCACUUGCGGCC
Molecule: non-coding RNA, 221 nt
Filed under: Pterocles gutturalis (yellow-throated sandgrouse)
Lineage: Eukaryota; Metazoa; Chordata; Aves; Pterocliformes; Pteroclidae
Description: Eukaryotic large subunit ribosomal RNA
Rfam family: Eukaryotic large subunit ribosomal RNA
Source: Rfam by way of RNAcentral